RNAcentral lists this ribosomal RNA (161 nucleotides) under uncultured bacterium. RNAcentral's name for it is "partial 16S ribosomal RNA". It matches the Rfam family "Bacterial small subunit ribosomal RNA", at positions 371 to 524 of the family's 1533-position model. The record is from RNAcentral.
AUGGGCGCAAGCCUGAUCCAGCAAUGCCGCGUGCAGGAAGAAGGCCUUCGGGUUGUAAACUGCUUUUGUACGGAGCGAAAAGGUUUCCUCUAAUACGGGGGACUGAUGACGGUACCGUAAGAAUAAGCACCGGCUAACUACGUGCCAGCAGCCGCGGUAAU